CACUCCUACGGGAGGCAGCAGUGGGGAAUUUUGGACAAUGGGCGAAAGCCUGAUCCAGCAAUGCCGCGUGAGUGAAGAAGGCCUUCGGGUUGUAAAGCUCUUUUGUCAGGGAAGAAACGGUGAGAGCUAAUAUCUUUUGCUAAUGACGGUACCUGAAGAAUAAGCACCGGCUAACUACGUGCCAGCAGCCGCGGUAAUACGUAGGGUGCAAGCGUUAAUCGGAAUUACUGGGCGUAAAGCGUGCGCAGGCGGUUUUGUAAGUCUGAUGUGAAAUCCCCGGGCUCAACCUGGGAAUUGCAUUGGAGACUGCAAGGCUAGAUUCUGGCAGAGGGGGGUAGAAUUCCACGUGGAGCAGUGAAAUGCGUAGAUAUGUGGAGGAACACCGAUGGCGAAGGCAGCCCCCUGGGUCAAGAUUGACACUCAUGCACGAAAGCGUGGGGAGCAAACAGGAUUAGAAACCCCGGUAGUCCC
RNAcentral lists this ribosomal RNA (471 nucleotides) under uncultured organism. RNAcentral's name for it is "partial 16S ribosomal RNA". It matches the Rfam family "Bacterial small subunit ribosomal RNA", at positions 334 to 797 of the family's 1533-position model. The record is from RNAcentral.